Molecule: transfer RNA, 65 nt
Filed under: Colletotrichum lindemuthianum
Lineage: Eukaryota; Fungi; Ascomycota; Sordariomycetes; Glomerellales; Glomerellaceae
Description: tRNA-Thr
Rfam family: tRNA
About the family: Transfer RNA (tRNA) molecules are approximately 80 nucleotides in length.
Source: RNAcentral
GCUCUUAUAGCUCAACGGUAGAGCAUAAUACUGUAUAUUAUGAAGAGUCGAUUCCUUUAAGGGCG